Molecule: ribosomal RNA, 684 nt
Filed under: Triticum aestivum (bread wheat)
Lineage: Eukaryota; Viridiplantae; Streptophyta; Magnoliopsida; Poales; Poaceae
Description: partial small subunit ribosomal RNA
Source: RNAcentral
AUGGCGGUUCCACAUGUGAGCGGCGCAGCCAUCCUAUUGAAGAGCGUACAUCAGAGCUGGAGUCCAGCCGCAAUCAAGUCUGCGCUCAUGACAACGGCCGACAUCGUCGACAACUCUGGGAAUGGAAUCCAGGACGAGCAGUUAGAUGCCGCCAAGGCGUACAAAUUGGGAGCUGGGCACAUCAACGUGUCCAUGGCAAUGGACCCUGGGCUCGUGUACGAGCUCAACGAGGGGCAAUACGCUGCCCACGUCUGCUCCACCCUCGGCGAGGCCGCACUGCACGCCAUUUCGCGCAAUGACUCGUGGAGAUGCUCUGAGCUGCCCACCGUGCACCUGUCCAACCUCAACUACCCGAGCAUCACGGUCGCGCUGCAGCCGACGGGGUUCACCGUGGAAGAACGUCACACCUUUCCCCGAGCCGAGCCGGAGACGUACACAGCCAAGGUGGUAAUGCCCCCGGAGGUGCGUGUGGCCGUCGACCCAAGCACCCUCAUGUUCACAUAUACAGGGGAGGAGGCCUCGUACCAGAUCUGGGUGAGCAGCAGCAGCAACUCUCCGGUCCAAGGAGCCGUUUACCAGGGCACCAUCGAGUGGUCUUCCAGCGAUCACAUGGUCAGAAGCCCCAUGAUCGCCGUCGUCGGCCUGGCCAUCUCUCAGCCGUCCACGGCGUGGAAGCUGGACUGA